AUACGGAGGGUGCGAGCGUUAAUCGGAAUUACUGGGCGUAAAGCGUACGUAGGCGGUUGGUUAAGUUAGAUGUGAAAGCCCCGGGCUUAACCUGGGAACUGCAUUUAAAACUGGCGAACUAGAGUUGAGUAGAGGGGAGUGGAAUUUCAGGGGUAGCGGUGAAAUGCGUAGAGAUCUGAAGGAACACCAGUGGCGAAGGCGACUCCCUGGACUCGAACUGACGCUGAGGUACGAAAGCGUGGGUAGCAAACGGGAUUAGAAACCCUAGUAGUCC
This 274-nucleotide ribosomal RNA is filed under the name uncultured bacterium. Its description in RNAcentral is "partial 16S ribosomal RNA". It matches the Rfam family "Bacterial small subunit ribosomal RNA", at positions 523 to 796 of the family's 1533-position model. The record is from RNAcentral.